GAUGAACGCUGGCGGCGUGCCUAAUACAUGCAAGUCGAGCGAACAGAUGAGGAGCUUGCUCCUCUGACGUUAGCGGCGGACGGGUGAGUAACACGUGGGUAACCUACCUAUAAGACUGGGAUAACUUCGGGAAACCGGAGCUAAUACCGGAUAAUAUAUGGAACCGCAUGGUUCUAUAGUGAAAGACGGUUUUGCUGUCACUUAUAGAUGGAUCCGCGCCGCAUUAGCUAGUUGGUAAGGUAACGGCUUACCAAGGCAACGAUGCGUAGCCGACCUGAGAGGUUGAUCGGCCAACCUGAAACUGGGAAAGGGCCCAGAUCCCUACGGGAGGAAGAAGUGGGGAACCUUCGGAAAUGGGGGAAAGCCUGAGGGAGAAACGCGGCGUGAGUGAGGAAGGUCUUCGGAUGGUAAACCCCUGUAAUAGGGAAAAACAAACUGGGAAAGUACCUAUGAAGGCUUUGACGGUACUAAACAAGAAAGCAACGGCUAACUACGU
This 496-nucleotide ribosomal RNA is filed under the name uncultured bacterium. RNAcentral describes it as "partial 16S ribosomal RNA". It matches the Rfam family "Bacterial small subunit ribosomal RNA", at positions 28 to 506 of the family's 1533-position model. The record is from RNAcentral.